Molecule: ribosomal RNA, 385 nt
Filed under: uncultured bacterium
Lineage: Bacteria
Description: bacterial SSU rRNA
Rfam family: Bacterial small subunit ribosomal RNA
Source: RNAcentral
AUUGAACGCUGGCGGCAUGCCUUACACAUGCAAGUCGAACGGCAGCGCGGGGCAACCUGGCGGCGAGUGGCGAACGGGUGAGUAAUAUAUCGGAACGUGCCCUGGAGUGGGGGAUAACGCAGCGAAAGUUGCGCUAAUACCGCAUACGAUCUAAGGAUGAAAGCAGGGGACCGCAAGGCCUUGUGCUCCUGGAGCGGCCGAUAUCUGAUUAGCUAGUGGUGGGGUAAAGGCCUACCAAGGCAUCGAUCAGUAGCUGGUCUGAGAGGACGACCAGCCACACUGGAACUGAGACACGGUCCAGACUCCUACGGGAGGCAGCAGUGGGAAUUUUGGACAAUGGGCGCAAGCCUGAUCCAGCAAUGCCGCGUGAGUGAAGAAGGCCUGG